RNAcentral lists this ribosomal RNA (537 nucleotides) under Campylobacter jejuni. RNAcentral describes it as "partial 23S ribosomal RNA". It matches the Rfam family "Bacterial large subunit ribosomal RNA", at positions 1 to 559 of the family's 2925-position model. Lineage: Bacteria; Pseudomonadati; Campylobacterota; Epsilonproteobacteria; Campylobacterales; Campylobacteraceae. The record is from RNAcentral.
AGGUAAGCUACUAAGAGCGAAUGGUGGAUGCCUUGACUGGUAAAGGCGAUGAAGGACGUACUAGACUGCGAUAAGCUACGGGGAGCUGUCAAGAAGCUUUGAUCCGUAGAUUUCCGAAUGGGGCAACCCAAUGUAUAGAGAUAUGCAUUACCUAUAUAGGAGCGAACGAGGGGAAUUGAAACAUCUUAGUACCCUCAGGAAAAGAAAUCAAUAGAGAUUGCGUCAGUAGCGGCGAGCGAAAGCGCAAGAGGGCAAACCCAGUGCUUGCACUGGGGGUUGUAGGACUGCAAUGUGCAAGAGCUGAGUUUAGCAGAACAUUCUGGAAAGUAUAGCCAUAGAGGGUGAUAGUCCCGUAUGCGAAAAACAAAGCUUAGCUAGCAGUAUCCUGAGUAGGGCGGGACACGAGGAAUCCUGUCUGAAUCCGGGUCGACCACGAUCCAACCCUAAAUACUAAUACCAGAUCGAUAGUGCACAAGUACCGUGAGGGAAAGGUGAAAAGAACUGAGGUGAUCAGAGUGAAAUAGAACCUGAAACCAU